CUUUUUUUUCCAGUGACUUAGAACAGAUGGCCAGCCCCACACAAAACUUUUCUGAGUUUGAUUCAGCCCUACAGUACAAAUUGCCUGAUUAAGUUUCAAAAACAUCACAUUGUUAGAAACAUGAGAAUAAUAAAAAGCUUUUUAAAAAUGGACUAUGAAGCUGCUGGUGAUCUCAGAGAGAGUUUUCCAUGCAAGUUUUCAUCUGUCCCAGGCCAUCAACUGAUACAGAAGUCUCUAAUAAAGUUGAGUCCUAAGUCACUACUUGGAAGGUGGUGA
RNAcentral lists this long non-coding RNA (276 nucleotides) under Cyanistes caeruleus (blue tit). Its description in RNAcentral is "lncRNA (ENSCCEG00000011259.1)". Lineage: Eukaryota; Metazoa; Chordata; Aves; Passeriformes; Paridae. The record is from RNAcentral.